GCUCGCGAACAAAGGUGGCAGCAACGCCGCUGCAUGCACAAAAAGAAUUCUCUCAUACCUACUUUGCGACAAUCUCGCAGCACAGUUUUCAUGGUUUGGUAAAAAGGGAAAACACCAAUUCAGCCAGCUCCGUCUCGCUUCUUGCAUAAUAAGUGCUGUGCAAAAAGUUCAUCCUGCAGAUGAAUUCACCAUAGAAGCAGCCGUUCGAGAAUGGUUGCGUCAUGCCCCAGCAAGGCAUAGGAAUGCAGCAAGAGGAUCAACUGUUUGUGACCAGUAGCCAUUUUGCAUCAUGAAUCUUUCAAGUGGACCUUCUCUUCAAAAGGAACUUCAUUGAAGAUUUUCGUGCAGCAAUUUUUUAUUCAGAUUACUUGAAGCGUUCAAGGCGAACUUUAAUGAAGACCUUUGUAUUGUAAUUUUUCAUUCAAAUAACUUAGGGCUUUUAAGGGGAACAUCGUUGAGCAAUUUUUCAUUCAUGUCACUUCAGACCGUUUUAAGUGAACUUCAUUGAACUUUUGUACAUUUUCAUAACAUUGAAACUUUCAAGGGGAACUUCGUCGAGAAUUUUUGGUCAGCAAUUUUUUAUUCACAUCUCUUCGAAGCGUUCAAGGCGAACUUCAUUGUAGACUUUUGUACAGUAAUUUUUCAUUCACAUAACUUUAGAGCUUUCAAGGGGAACUUUCAUUCACAUCACUUCAAACUGUUCAAGGUGAACUUCAUUGAACUUCUGUACAUUCUCAUAACUUUGUAACUUUCAAGGGGAACUUCGUCGAAGAUUUUUGGUCAGCAAUUUUUUAUUCACGUCACUUCAAAGCGUUAAAGAUGAACUCCAUUGAAUAAUUUUGUACAAUAUUUUUUCAUUCACAUACCUUCACUUACAUUCAAAGACUGAUUUAAAUUUAUGUUCAAUAAAUGUGUUUGAAAACAA
This is a long non-coding RNA of Rhipicephalus microplus (southern cattle tick), 925 nucleotides long. NCBI's taxonomy places the organism in Eukaryota, Metazoa, Arthropoda, Arachnida, Ixodida, Ixodidae. The record is from RefSeq and is a predicted model, not a curated record.